This 434-nucleotide ribosomal RNA is filed under the name uncultured bacterium. RNAcentral's name for it is "partial 16S ribosomal RNA". It matches the Rfam family "Bacterial small subunit ribosomal RNA", at positions 27 to 507 of the family's 1533-position model. The record is from RNAcentral.
GAACGAACGCUGGCGGCAGGCCUAACACAUGCAAGUCGAGCGAGGACUUCGGUUCUCGCGGCGGACGGGUGAGUAACGCGUGGGAAUGUGCCCUUCUCUACGGAAUAGCCCUGGGAAACUGGGAGUAAUACCGUAUACGCCCUAUUGGGGAAAGAUUUAUCGGAGAAGGAUCAGCCCGCGUUGGAUUAGGUAGUUGGUGGGGUAAUGGCCUACCAAGCCGACGAUCCAUAGCUGGUUUGAGAGGAUGAUCAGCCACACUGGGACUGAGACACGGCCCAGACUCCUACGGGAGGCAGCAGUGGGGAAUCUUAGACAAUGGGGGCAACCCUGAUCUAGCCAUGCCGCGUGAGUGAUGAAGGCCUUAGGGUUGUAAAGCUCUUUCAGCUGGGAAGAUAAUGACGGUACCAGCAGAAGAAGCCCCGGCUAACUCCGUG